CUUUCCUUUGACACAGCUGGUGUCCUCUUUUGUAAGUCCAUGUUCAGAUGGCAAUCCUUAACCCCUAGUUAGUCGAACUACGACAACUCUGAUUCUCAUAUUCAGAUGAGAUACGUAGGCACGAGACGCGAUGUCUUGCCGAGUUUUGACUGACGACUAACAACUAAUCCUUACUUGCUUUUGCCCUUGUUGCGAUUCUUUUCUCUCGCCCUCGUUGCGAUCGAGACCUUCU
Molecule: long non-coding RNA, 232 nt
Filed under: Lathyrus oleraceus (garden pea)
Lineage: Eukaryota; Viridiplantae; Streptophyta; Magnoliopsida; Fabales; Fabaceae
Description: Pisum sativum (pea) long non-coding RNA (PSAT_LNC011466)
Source: RNAcentral